AACGAACGCUGGCGGCAUGCCUAACACAUGCAAGUCGAACGAGACCUUCGGGUCUAGUGGCGCACGGGUGCGUAACGCGUGGGAACCUGCCCUUAGGUUCGGAAUAACUCCCCGAAAGGGGUGCUAAUACCGGAUAAUGUCUUCGGACCAAAGAUUUAUCGCCUUUGGAUGGGCCCGCGUUGGAUUAGCUAGUUGGUAGGGUAAAAGCCUACCAAGGCGACGAUCCAUAGCUGGUCUGAGAGGAUGAUCAGCCACACUGGGACUGAGACACGGCACAGACUGCUACGGGAGGCAGCAGAGGGGAAUAGUGGAAAAUGGGCGAAAGCAUGAUCAAGCAAUGACGCGUGAGUGAUGAAGGCCGUAGGGUUGUAAAGCUCUAUUACAAGGGAUGAUAAUGACAGUACCGGGAGAAUAAGCACCGGCUAACUCCGUG
Molecule: ribosomal RNA, 433 nt
Filed under: uncultured bacterium
Lineage: Bacteria
Description: partial 16S ribosomal RNA
Rfam family: Bacterial small subunit ribosomal RNA
Source: RNAcentral